CGCCUCCCGCAAAUAGAAUGUAUUGGAGGUCCUGCCUGCCCAGUGACAACUGAUUUAACGGCCGCGGUAUUUUGACCGUGCAAAGGUAGCGUAAUCACCUGUCUCUUAAAUAGAGACCCGUAUGAAUGGCAAGACGAGGGUUUUACUGUCUCCUCCCCCCAGUCAAUGAAAUUGAUCUACCCGUGCAGAAGCGGGUAUAAAAACAUAAGACGAGAAGACCCUAUGGAGCUUUAGGCCAAGAUCAAAUAUGUAAAAAACCUAAUCUUUCUAAAGAAUUAAAAAUGUAAAAAACAAUUAUUUAUGACUCUUACACCUUCGGUUGGGGCGACCACGGGGAAAAACAAAACCCCCACAUGGACAUGGAGUUAAACUUAACUCCUAAGCCAAGAAAAACCAUUCUAAGCAACAAAAUUUUUGACCAAAAAUGAUCCGGGAUUUUACCGAGCAAUGAACCAAGUUACCCUAGGGAUAACAGCGCAAUCCUCUCCCAGAGCCCAUAUCUACGAGGGGGUUUACGACCUCGAUGUUGGAUCAGGACAUCCUAGCGGUGCAGCUGCUGCUGAGGGUUCGUUUGUUCAACGAUUAAAGUCCU
RNAcentral lists this ribosomal RNA (592 nucleotides) under Conger japonicus. RNAcentral describes it as "partial 16S ribosomal RNA". It matches the Rfam family "Bacterial large subunit ribosomal RNA", at positions 1817 to 2597 of the family's 2925-position model. The record is from RNAcentral. Lineage: Eukaryota; Metazoa; Chordata; Actinopteri; Anguilliformes; Congridae.